RNAcentral lists this ribosomal RNA (440 nucleotides) under uncultured bacterium. RNAcentral's name for it is "partial 16S ribosomal RNA". It matches the Rfam family "Bacterial small subunit ribosomal RNA", at positions 338 to 795 of the family's 1533-position model. The record is from RNAcentral.
CCUACGGGAGGCAGCAGUAGGGAAUAUUGCUCAAUGGGGGAAACCCUGAUGCAGCAACGCCGCGUGGAGGAUGAAGGUUUUCGGAUUGUAAACUCCUUUUGUUAGAGAAGAUAAUGACGGUAUCUAACGAAUAAGCCCCGGCUAACUCCGUGCCAGCAGCCGCGGUAAUACGGAGGGUGCAAGCGUUACUCGGAAUUACUGGGCGUAAAGAGCGCGUAGGCGGGAUGGCAAGUCAGAUGUGAAAUCCUAUGGCUUAACCAUAGAACUGCAUUUGAAACUGUUAUUCUAGAGUAUGGGAGAGGUAGGUGGAAUUCUUGGUGUAGGGGUGAAAGGCGUAGAGAUCAGGAGGAAUACUCGUGGCGAAGGCGGCCUGCUGGAACAUAACUGACGCUGAGGCGCGAAAGCGUGGGGAGCAAACAGGAUUAGAUACCCGUGUAGUC